Molecule: ribosomal RNA, 46 nt
Filed under: Phaeoacremonium minimum
Lineage: Eukaryota; Fungi; Ascomycota; Sordariomycetes; Togniniales; Togniniaceae
Description: partial 18S ribosomal RNA
Source: RNAcentral
CGUACUCCAAACCCUUUGUGAACAUACCUGUUUUCGUUGCUUCGGC